This 434-nucleotide ribosomal RNA is filed under the name uncultured Lachnospiraceae bacterium. RNAcentral's name for it is "bacterial SSU rRNA". It matches the Rfam family "Bacterial small subunit ribosomal RNA", at positions 341 to 792 of the family's 1533-position model. The record is from RNAcentral. Lineage: Bacteria; Bacillati; Bacillota; Clostridia; Lachnospirales; Lachnospiraceae.
ACGGAAGGCAGCAGUGGGGAAUAUUGCACAAUGGGGGAAACCCUGAUGCAGCGACGCCGCGUGAACGAUGAAGUAUUUCGGUAUGUAAAGUUCUAUCAGCAGGGAAGAUAAUGACGGUACCUGACUAAGAAGCACCGGCUAAAUACGUGCCAGCAGCCGCGGUAAUACGUAUGGUGCAAGCGUUAUCCGGAUUUACUGGGUGUAAAGGGUGCGUAGGUGGCAUGGCAAGUCUGAAGUGAAAUGCGGGGGCUCAACCCCUGAACUGCUUUGGAAACUGUCAAGCUUGAGUACAGGAGAGGAAAGCGGAAUUCCUAGUGUAGCGGUGAAAUGCGUAGAUAUUAGGAGGAACACCAGUGGCGAAGGCGGCUUUCUGGUCUGUAACUGACACUGAGGCACGAAAGCGUGGGGAGCAAACAGGAUUAGAUACCCUGGUA